RNAcentral lists this ribosomal RNA (428 nucleotides) under Acidobacteriota bacterium. RNAcentral describes it as "Acidobacteria bacterium partial 16S ribosomal RNA". It matches the Rfam family "Bacterial small subunit ribosomal RNA", at positions 355 to 775 of the family's 1533-position model. Lineage: Bacteria; Pseudomonadati; Acidobacteriota. The record is from RNAcentral.
UGGGGAAUUUUGGACAAUGGGGGCAACCCUGAUCCAGCAAUGCCGCGUGUGUGAAGAAGGCCUUCGGGUUGUAAAGCACUUUUGUCCGGGAAGAAAUCGCACCUGAUAAUACCGGGUGUGGAUGACGGUACCGGAAGAAUAAGGACCGGCUAACUACGUGCCAGCAGCCGCGGUAAUACGUAGGGUCCAAGCGUUAAUCGGAAUUACUGGGCGUAAAGCGUGCGCAGGCGGUUGUGCAAGACCGAUGUGAAAUCCCCGGGCUUAACCUGGGAAUUGCAAUGGUGACUGCACGGCUAGAGUGUGUCAGAGGGGGGUAGAAUUCCACGUGUAGCAGUGAAAUGCGUAGAGAUGUGGAGGAAUACCGAUGGCGAAGGCAGCCCCCUGGGAUAACACUGACGCUCAUGCACGAAAGCGUGGGGAGCAAACAG